CAACAAACCCACCACCAUCUUUUAUUUUCUUAAUUUGUUUUUCGUGAUUUCUACUUCUUCUUCUUCUUUCACCCAUAAUCGAAAGCUUCAUUUCAACCAAUAUUUGAUAACACGCAUCUAUCUAACUUUCUUCAUUCCAUCAUAAUCAAAUGGAUAUUUAUUAGAUAUAUAUUUUGACAAUGGCGGAGAUUCAUAGAUCCAUCAAAAAUAGGAAGGGAUUCUAUGUGAAGAUGAAGUUUUUCCGUACCAAAAAUGGGAAAUUAGAGAAACCAUUUUUCGUCAGAUACUUCAAAUGGCUUUUAUGGUUUUCAUUAUCAUUUUAUUUCUUUGCUAAGUUUCUUAAUAAUCACGAACCCGAUACUACUUCUUUGAAGACAACCGUACCGUCGCAUUCUUCGCAAUCAAAUUUCAUUUCUCGUGCCCUUUCCGAAUCCUCAAUUAUCCAACAUCCUAAAAACAACCAAGGUAUAUUGAAGGGGAUGAAAGUAUAUGUAUACGAAUUACCAUCAAAGUACAACACGGAUUGGCUAGCAAACGAGCGAUGUAGCAACCAUUUAUUCGCUUCAGAAGUAGCGAUUCAUCGAGCAUUGUUGAAAAGCGAUUUCCGAACAUCUGACCCGUACGAUGCUGAUUUUUUCUAUGUACCUGUUUACGUUUCUUGCAACUUUAGCACCGUGAAUGGAUUUCCCGCCAUUGGUCACGCCCGUGGUCUCCUAUCGUCUGCGGUCAACCACAUAUCCUCGGAGCUCCCGUUUUGGAACCGGAGCAACGGGUCGGAUCACGUAUUCGUUGCUUCUCAUGAUUAUGGAGCCUGUUUCCAUGCUAUGGAGGAUCGAGCAAUUGCUGGUGGAAUACCGGAGUUCAUGAAGAAAUCGAUAAUAUUACAAACAUUCGGUGUAAAAUACCAACAUCCUUGUCAAAAUGUGGACAGCAGUGUCGUCAUUCCGCCUUACGUUUCACCACGAAGCCUGCAAUCGACGUUGGAAAAGUCUCCGAUCGAUGGUCCGCGCGACAUCUUUGUGUUCUUUCGUGGAAAAAUGGAAGUCCAUCCCAAAAACGUCAGCGGACGUUUCUAUAGCAAGCGUGUAAGGACGGAAAUAUUGCGAAAGUAUGGAAAUGACAAGAGAUUUUAUUUAAAGCGACACCGUUUUGCUGGUUACCAAAACGAGAUAGUUCGAUCGGUGUUUUGUUUGUGCCCGUUAGGAUGGGCACCUUGGAGUCCAAGGCUAGUGGAAUCGGUUGCGUUAGGUUGCGUUCCCGUUAUAAUAGCGGACGGAAUCCGUCUACCAUUCGAAUCCACGGUUUCGUGGUCGGAUAUAUCUUUAACCGUAAGGGAAAAAGAUAUAUCCAAACUUGGUGGCAUACUAGAGGACGUGGCGUCAACAAACUUAUCGGCAAUACAACGAAAUUUAUGGGACCAUAAGCUCCGACGGGCCCUUCUUUUCCAUGAUGACGUGGAAUACGGCGAUGCAACAUGGGAGGUCCUUGUUGCGUUAUCCAAAAAAAUCGGUAGGUCUCACCGGCGGUCGAAGGUUUCGAGCGAGUGAAGGGGUUACACGUGGCGAUUUUCGAUUGGAAAGGCGGUUGCCAGCUAAUUUUGUUUGGUUCCAACAUGGCAUUGGUGUGUGGGACCCGGGGUUGUGGUGGCUGAGUUGGCAAUUGUUUGUAUGUAUAUGUGUAUGGGGUUGGGAUGGGAUGAGGUGAGGUGAAGUGAAGUGGUCCUCAUGGGUUGAUAAUGUAGACCAACCUGUCAAUGAUAGGAAGUGUUUGUUCACAUUUUGUUCUAGCAAAGUUAGUCUCCAGCAACUUCGUCUGCUUUAAUUAUUAGUUUUAUUAUGUUUGCGAGAAGUAUAUUUGAAGAUAAAAUAUUAGGUAAGGGUCAUGAAGCUGUUAAGAAAAAGGUUUGAAAACAACCAUUAAAAUACCAGUUAAUUCGUCUAUAUAUGUCAUAGACAAAAGCUCUAAUUUCUCUA
This is an RNA transcript of Erigeron canadensis, 1973 nucleotides long. It is a transcript of the gene named probable glucuronoxylan glucuronosyltransferase IRX7, with no coding region annotated. NCBI's taxonomy places the organism in Eukaryota, Viridiplantae, Streptophyta, Magnoliopsida, Asterales, Asteraceae. The record is from RefSeq and is a predicted model, not a curated record. The transcript is spliced from 5 exons.